This 72-nucleotide transfer RNA is filed under the name Tetraselmis marina. Its description in RNAcentral is "tRNA-Gly". It matches the Rfam family "tRNA". From Rfam's summary of the family: Transfer RNA (tRNA) molecules are approximately 80 nucleotides in length. Their secondary structure includes four short double-helical elements and three loops (D, anti-codon, and T loops). Lineage: Eukaryota; Viridiplantae; Chlorophyta; Chlorodendrophyceae; Chlorodendrales; Chlorodendraceae. The record is from RNAcentral.
GCGGAUCUGGCUUAAUGGUAAAGCAUUACGUUGCCAAUGUAAGGAUUAGGGGUUCGAGUCCCCUGUUCCGCU